GGGUAGCUGGAUUUUGCUAUGGAUGGUGAAUUGAGUCAGGAUUUGAUCUUGUAGUCUCUUUCUGACUCUUUUUCUUAGUUUGUUAUUAAUUAUUAUAUGAACAAACUGAACAUAAGCUUGCUUAAACUGCUGAAUAUGUUGAAAAUAAUAGAGAGCCAUUUCAAGGGUGAAAAGGUCCAGGUUCUUUUUGUUGAUAAGAUCGGCA
RNAcentral lists this long non-coding RNA (205 nucleotides) under Elaeis guineensis (African oil palm). Its description in RNAcentral is "long non-coding RNA (EGUI_LNC075718)". Lineage: Eukaryota; Viridiplantae; Streptophyta; Magnoliopsida; Arecales; Arecaceae. The record is from RNAcentral.